RNAcentral lists this unclassified non-coding RNA (217 nucleotides) under Hevea brasiliensis (rubber tree). The record is from RNAcentral. Lineage: Eukaryota; Viridiplantae; Streptophyta; Magnoliopsida; Malpighiales; Euphorbiaceae.
GUAAUAAUCCAUGUCUAUUACCUCAAAUAUUGUUUUGCUGUGUUGAAAUUUGAGUAUUGUUUUUAACUAUUAGAGUUUUGUAAAGAAGUUUUGUUUUCUUUGAUAAAAUGGUAACAUGUCAUAUCCUGAGGUUUUUAUGUCUAAGGAUAAGGCUUUCAUUACAUGAGGAUCUCUUACAGAGAUAGUAAAAACUAAAAUUGGGAUAGCGCGAAAAAUA